CCUACGGGUGGCAGCAGUGGGGAAUAUUGCGCAAUGGGCGAAAGCCUGACGCAGCGACGCCGCGUGAGGGAUGAAGGUCUUCGGAUCGUAAACCUCUGUCAGCAGGGAAGAACGGUCACUGUGCUAAUCAGCAGUGAAUUGACGGUACCUGCAAAGGAAGCACCGGCUAACUCCGUGCCAGCAGCCGCGGUAAUACGGAGGGUGCGAGCGUUAAUCGGAUUUACUGGGCGUAAAGCGCGCGUAGGCGGUAUGUCAAGUCAAGGGUGAAAUCCCCGCGCUCAACGUGGGAACUGCCUUUGAAACUGGUAAACUAGAGUGUAGGGGCGGUUGGUGGAAUGCAAGGUGUAGGGGUGAAAUCCGUAGAUAUCAUACAGAACAUCGAUGGCGAAGGCGGCUAAC
This 399-nucleotide ribosomal RNA is filed under the name uncultured bacterium. RNAcentral's name for it is "partial 16S ribosomal RNA". It matches the Rfam family "Bacterial small subunit ribosomal RNA", at positions 338 to 729 of the family's 1533-position model. The record is from RNAcentral.